CCAUCCGUGCGGCGCUUGGGAGGGUGCUGAUACCCUGCAGGCGUUCCCCGGAAGCCAGUCGGCGGGCUUUCCUGCACUUUCCGGUUUAACCAGGCUAAAUUUUUGCCUGGGAGAUAGUCACUCCCGGGAAAACGUCGCCGGCAUUAGUCAUGAAUUUAUUGGAAGAUGUUUAUACUUGGAAGAACCUAAGUAUAUGAAUUUACUUUUUUGACUGAAAAUUUUGUGAGAUCCAGAUGCCGAUGAAGUACUUCCAGUGAAAGUGUCUGAGUAUGAAAUGUGAGGGAAAUGAUCCAAGAUGGCCGAUCGCUAACAUCCCGGGAUUGCAGCUCUCAGUGAAGGCGCGGAGAACUAGAGGACGCCACACUUUCAGACAAAUUCUGGUCGCUCACGGAGCAGAAGAUCCCCAGUGGAGGAAACACACGGGUCGCCAGUGCGACUCUCAUGGCUGGCGUAGUGGUUCCACCGGCACCUAGGCACGGCAGCUCUCGGAGCAGAGUAAACAGGUUCGGAGGACCUGCAUGGGCCCCCAGCACAACACCAGAGCCCAGCGCAGCGGCUGUGAUGGCACCUCAGUGCAGCAGCACUCGGCGCAGAGUAAAAGGGACCGGUUCCCCUUCUGACCAAGGUUUGGAGCCCCAGGAAGGCAGAGUCGCCUACUACGGACACAAGAAGGAAGCCUGACAGGAGAAUCCUGGGAAGAAAAGCACCAUCAGUUUUAACGCCGCUGCUCUGGCCCUGGGAACUAACAACCUGGACGCCCACUCAAGAGACCUAAUCUGAAAGUUGGUAAAUUCAAAGACGAUAGAAGGAUAAAUUUACAAUGACGGGAAGAAACCAGUGUAAAAAAGCUGAGAAUACUCAAAAUCAGAAUGCCUCUCCCUCUAAAGAUGAUCACAGUUCCACAUCGACAAUGGAACAAGGCUUGAUGGAGAACGAGCCCAUCCCAAUGACAGAAGUACUCUUCAAGGAAUGGAUAAUAACAAACUUUGGUGAGUUAAAAAGAACAUGUUGCAGCCCAAUGUAAAGAAACUAGGAACUUUGAAAAAAGGUUUGAUGAAAUCCUAUUGAGAAAACUUAGAGAGGAGUAUGAGUGAAUUAAUGGAACUGAAGAAUACAAUACAGGAACUCCAAGAAGUAUGCACAGGUUUAAACACUCGAAUUGUUCAAGCAGAAGAAGGGAUAUCAGAGGUCAAAGUCCAACUUAAUGAAAUAAAACGUGAAGAAAAGAUUAGAGAAAAAAAAAUAAAAAGGAAUGAGCAAAGUCUCCAAGAAAUGUGGGACUAUGUGAAAAGACCAAAUUUACGUUUGAUAGGUGUACCUGAAUGCGACGGAGAGAAUGAAUCCAAGCUGGAAGAUACCCUUCAGGAUAUUAUUCAGGAAAAUUUUCCUAAACUAGCAAAGCAGGUUAAUAUUCAACCCCAGGUAAUACAGAGAACACCACAAAGAUAUUCCUCAAGAAGAGCAACCCCAAGGCACAUAAUCGUUAGAUUCACCAGGGUUGAAACGAAGGAGAAAAUACUAAGGGCAGCCAGAGAGAAAGGUCAGGUUACCCACAAAGGCAAGCCUAUCAGACUUACAGCAGAUCUCUCAGCAGAAACUCUACAAGCCAGAAGAGAGUGGGGGCCAAUAUUCAACAUCCUCAAAGAACAGAACCUUCAGCCCAGAAUUUCAUAUCCAGCCAAACUAAACUUCACAACUGAAGGAAAAAUAAAAUCUUUUAUGAACAAGCAAGUACUCAGAGAUUUUAUUAUCACCAGGCCUGCUUUACAAGAGCUCUGAAAGAAGCAUCACACACAGAAAGAAACAACCAAUAUUAGCCUUUCUAAAAAUAUACCAAAAAGUAAAGAGCACCAACAUAAAGAAGAAUUUACACCAACGAAUGGAUAAAACAGCCAGUUAACAUCAAAUGGCAGUAACCCUAAAUUUAAAUCGACUAAAUCCCCCAAUCAAAAGACACAGCCAAAACCCAAUGGCAUGUUACAUCCAGACCUGUUUCACAUGCAAGGAUACACAAAGACUCAAAACAAAGGUAUGGAGAAAGAUUUACCAACCAAAUGGAGAGCAAAAAUAAAUAAUAAAUAAAUAAAAAGCAGGAGUCGCAAAUCUCGUAUUGGAUAAAAUAGAUUUUAAAGCAACAAAGAUACAUACAGUGGUAAAAGGAUCAAUGCAACAAGAGCUAACGAUCCUAACACCCAGAUACAUAGAGACUUAGACUCAAUGAGUCAGAAAAUUAAUAAGGAUAUCAAGGACUCAAACUCAGAUCCGGAACAAGUAAACUUAAUAAAUAUUUAUAGAGCUCCCCACUUCAAAUACACAAAAUAUACAUUCUUGUCAAUACCUCAUCACACCUACUCAUAAGCUUAAAUGAAACAUUGAUUGGCCAUUAUUAAUACCCAAUUUUUUUCAGAAUAAAGCAAUAUUUCCAUUUUCUCUCCCUCUUUCUCUUCCUCUCCUUUACUUAUGUUUUUUUCUUUCCUUCUCUCAAAAAAAGAAAUCAACUUGUAAACCUCUAGAUCCAGGUCGGCAAUGUCUCUCUCAUUGCUUGAUUUCCUUCCUUCCCUUCCCUUCCGUUCCCUCCCUCCCUCUCCCCUUCUUCCCUGCCUUCUUUCCUUCAUCCCUUCCUU
Callithrix jacchus (white-tufted-ear marmoset) is the source of this 2624-nucleotide long non-coding RNA. RefSeq lists it as uncharacterized. The record is from RefSeq and is a predicted model, not a curated record. Lineage: Eukaryota; Metazoa; Chordata; Mammalia; Primates; Cebidae.